AGUGAACGCUGGCGGUAGGCCUAACACAUGCAAGUCGAGCGGCAGCACAGUAAGAGCUUGCUCUUACGGGUGGCGAGUGGCGGACGGGUGAGGAAUACAUCGGAAUCUACUUUUUCGUGGGGGAUAACGUAGGGAAACUUACGCUAAUACCGCAUACGACCUACGGGUGAAAGCAGGGGAUCUUCGGACCUUGCGCGAUUGAAUGAGCCGAUGUCGGAUUAGCUAGUUGGCGGGGUAAAGGCCCACCAAGGCGACGAUCCGUAGCUGGUCUGAGAGGAUGAUCAGCCACACUGGAACUGGGACACGGUCCAGACUCCUACGGGGGGCAGCAGUGGGGAAUAUUGGACAAUGGGCGCAAGCCUGAUCCAGCCAUACCGCGUGGGUGAAGAAGGCCUUCGGGUUGUAAAGCCCUUUUGUUGGGAAAGAAAAGCAGCAGGUUAAUACCCCGCUGUUCUGACGGUACCCAAAGAAUAAGCACCGGCUAACUUCGUG
RNAcentral lists this ribosomal RNA (492 nucleotides) under uncultured bacterium. Its description in RNAcentral is "partial 16S ribosomal RNA". It matches the Rfam family "Bacterial small subunit ribosomal RNA", at positions 29 to 507 of the family's 1533-position model. The record is from RNAcentral.